GGGUUCAGAACGUCGUGAGACAGUUCGGUCCCUAUCCGUCGCAGGCGUAGGAAAUUUGAGAAGACCUGUCCUUAGUACGAGAGGACCGGGAUGGACGUACCUCUGGUGUACCAGUUGUUCUGCCAAGGGCAUGGCUGGGUAGCUAUGUACGGAAUGGAUAAGCGCUGAAAGCAUCUAAGCGCGAAGCCAACUUCAAGAUAAGAUUUCCCACCGCAAGGGUAAGACCCCAGAAAGACUAUCUGGUUG
Molecule: ribosomal RNA, 246 nt
Filed under: Clostridioides difficile
Lineage: Bacteria; Bacillati; Bacillota; Clostridia; Peptostreptococcales; Peptostreptococcaceae
Description: partial 23S ribosomal RNA
Rfam family: Bacterial large subunit ribosomal RNA
Source: RNAcentral